RNAcentral lists this ribosomal RNA (1324 nucleotides) under metagenome. Its description in RNAcentral is "bacterial LSU rRNA". It matches the Rfam family "Bacterial large subunit ribosomal RNA", at positions 1561 to 2925 of the family's 2925-position model. The record is from RNAcentral.
AGUGGAUGGGGAGCAACCUAGUUGUGCGUGUGUAAAGGUAGUGCCAAGAAAAGCGAUGAUCAUGUUGAAAAUCAAUUCCCGGUACCCGAAACCGACACAGGUGGGCAAGUAGAGAAUACUAAGGGGCGCGAGGUAACUCUCUCCAAGGAACUCGGCAAAAUGACCCCGUAACUUAGGGAGAAGGGGUGCCACCGAGAGGUGGUCGCAGUGAAGAGGCCCAGGCGACUGUUUAGCAAAAACAUAGGUCUCUGCAAACUCGAAAGAGGAGGUAUAGGGGCUGACGCCUGCCCAGUGCCGGAAGGUUAAAGAAGUUGGUCAGUUUUAGGAUGAAGCUAGCGACUGAAGCCCCGGUGAACGGCGGCCGUAACUAUAACGGUCCUAAGGUAGCGAAAUUCCUUGUCGGGUAAGUUCCGACCCGCACGAAAGGCGUAACGAUCUGGGCGCUGUCUCGGAGAGAGGCUCGGCGAAAUAGGAUUGUCUGUGAAGAUACGGACUACCUGCAUUUGGACAGAAAGACCCUAUGAAGCUUUACUAUAGCUUGGAAUUGUGUUCGGGCUUCCUGUGCGCAGGAUAGGUGGGAGGCGUAGAAGGUAUUCUUGUGGGGAUACUGGAGCCAACGGUGAGAUACCACUCUCAGGAGGCUAGAAUUCUAACUUAAUUAAGGACAGUUUCAGGUGGGUAGUUUGACUGGGGCGGUCGCCUCCAAAAAGGUAACGGAGGCGUACAAAGGUUCCCUCAGACUGGUUGGAAAUCAGUCGAAGAGUGCAAAGGCAGAAGGGAGCUUGACUGCGAGAAGUACAGUUCGAGCAGGGUGGAAACACGGUCUUAGUGAUCCGACGGUGCUGUGUGGAAGGGCCGUCGCUCAACGGAUAAAAGUUACUCUAGGAUAACAGGCUGAUCUCCCCCAAGAGUUCACAUCGACGGGGAGGUUUGGCACCUCGAUGUCGGCUCAUCGCAACCUGGGGCGGAAGUACGUCCCAAGGGUUGGGCUGUUCGCCCAUUAAAGCGGUACGUGAGCUGGGUUCAGAACGUCGUGAGACAGUUCGGUCCAUAUCCGAUGUAGGCGUGAGAAUAUUGAGAGGAGCCUUCCUUAGUACGAGAGGACCGGGAAGGACGCACCGCUGGUGUACCUGUUAUGAUGCCAAUUGUAAACGCAGGGUAGCCAAGUGCGGAGAGGAUAACCGCUGAAAGCAUCUAAGUGGGAAGCCCACCUCAAGAUGAGUAUUCUGGUGUAAGGUCACGUAAGACGACCCGUAAAUAGGCACGAGGUGGAAGUGCAGAGAUGUAUGAAGCCGAAGUGUACUAAUAGACCGUCGGCUUGACC